AACAGACAUUGGAGACUCAGAAGGGU
RNAcentral lists this non-coding RNA (26 nucleotides) under Homo sapiens (human). Lineage: Eukaryota; Metazoa; Chordata; Mammalia; Primates; Hominidae. The record is from RNAcentral.